CUGGCCGUAAACGAUGAAUGCUAGGUGUGAGUGUAGAGAUACAUUUGUGCCGGAGUUAACGCGAUAAGCAUUCCGCCUGGGGAGUACGGUCGCAAGAUUGAAACUCAAAGGAAUUGACGGGGGCCCGCACAAGCGGUGGAGCACGUGGUUUAAUUCGAUGCAAACCGAAGAACCUUACCUGGGUUUGACAUGUACGUGGUACUGACCUGAAAGGGGAGGGACCGUGCCUUCGGGCAGGGAGCGUACACAGGUGC
RNAcentral lists this ribosomal RNA (254 nucleotides) under uncultured Synergistaceae bacterium. Its description in RNAcentral is "partial 16S ribosomal RNA". It matches the Rfam family "Bacterial small subunit ribosomal RNA", at positions 796 to 1041 of the family's 1533-position model. The record is from RNAcentral. Lineage: Bacteria; Thermotogati; Synergistota; Synergistia; Synergistales; Synergistaceae.